Molecule: RNA transcript, 2378 nt
Organism: Aphis gossypii (cotton aphid)
Lineage: Eukaryota; Metazoa; Arthropoda; Insecta; Hemiptera; Aphididae
Gene name: HMG box-containing protein 4
Exons: 3
Source: RefSeq, a predicted model, not a curated record
AUUAUGUUUGUUGUUUACGAAAAAAUCGUAAAUAUUAAAAAAAUGAAUAAUGUAUACAAAACAACAGAACGAACAGUGUGACCCGUGUGGAUCGGACGCCGAGGACAGCCUGUGAAAGACGACUGGUUGAUGAUAAGACUAGCGAUCUGUUAUCAUCGUAUCGGCGGCAUCGCAAGUGUAAACACGACCACGUGCAUACUGUAAAAUGAUUUCGUGAUAAUCGGUGUUUGCUGCUGUCUCGCUGGUAAUAAACACUAAGCCGUGUCGUUUCAUUCGUUUUCAUUCGUGCCGACUCUUCAGUCGCCAAACGACAUGUUACGCCGGCAAGCUCGACUCCGGCGCGAGUACCUAUACCGUAAGAGUUUGGAGACCCGUCAGAAGGUGAUCCAAGACAAAAAGGAACGGCUCAAACACUGUUUGGACGAGAACGUGCCCAUUCACUAUGACCUGCGCACAGAGGCAUUGCACUUGCAGGAAAAACUAGAAUGGGACGACGAUGCGCCAGCGUUGUCGGCUAUCGGUGGUGGCGAGGAAGGCGGUGCGGGUACCUCGCACGAAGACGACGAGUACCGUUGGGCCGGUGUCGAGGACCCGAAAAUCAUGAUCACCACGUCGCACGACCCGUCGACAAGGUUGAAAAAGUUCGUCAAAGAGCUGAGACUGAUAUUUCCAAACGCCCAACGCAUGAACCGUGGUAAUUAUGAAAUCAAGCAGUUGAUACAAGCUUGCCGAGCUAACGAGGUGACUGAUUUUAUCGUUGUGCAUGAGCACAGAGGUGUUCCGGACACGUUGAUCGUUUGUCACAUGCCGUAUGGCCCAACAGCCUAUUUCAACUUGACAGACGUAGUCAUGAGACACGACGUUCCUGACAUUGGUACAAUGUCUGAACAGUUUCCACAUUUGAUUUUCCAUAAUUUCGAAACACAACUCGGUAAGAGAACAAUGAACAUCUUGAAGUAUUUGUACCCGGUUCCAAAAGAAGACAGCAAGAGAGUCAUCUCUUUUGCCAAUCAUGAUGAUUAUAUAUCGUUUAGACACCAUACUUACAAAACGGUGGAUGGUAACAAAAUUGAAAUGAAUGAAGUUGGUCCUCGUUUUCAGUUGAAACUUUAUCAAAUAAAAUUGGGAACCUUAGAAUCAGCAGAUACAGCUGACACAGAAUGGAUGCUCAGACCUUAUAUGAACACUGCAUCUAAGCGACGAUAUCUGUCAUUAAAAGAUGGCUGGGCUCAAGAUGAUACAAUUUUUUCUUAAAUAAUGAUUGUUUUGUAAAUAAAAAUAUGACCUAAAUUAAAAAGAUUUUUUUAUAUAAUGUUGAAUUUGAUAGUAUUACAAAUUUCAAUACUAAACUUUGCUAUCAUGUGUAUAUAAAUGUAAAGGAUUACAAAUCACAUUUUCAAAAUAAAAGUCUUUAAAGUAAAAAAAAACAUCUUACCCUAUCCUAACCUUACUGUGACACCUUUAAAACGUGGAAAUAUUACCAGGAGAUGUACAUUUUUUAAAUAAUCAAAAAUAUUUACAUAAUGAUGAAGAUUAAGUAAAUAUUUUCAUCAUCUUUAUAUGAACACUUAUACAAUAAAUAAUAAAUACAUAACAGAGAAAUGUAUAACAUUUAACUGACUACCUAUAUAUUAAUAUAAUGAAUCACUAAACAACGAUUAACGAUUUUCAAGCAGCACUUGUAUUUUUUAAUAUUAUAUCUAUACAAAAAACUACAAUGUUAAAAUGUACCGACUUGAAUAAAAAUUUCUCAGUGAAAUAUUUGCGAAUUCAAAAUACUUAUAAAUUAUCAUACUCACCAGAAUGUUACUGGAAAACAGAUUUUUCUUGGUUGUUUUUAUAUUCAAAACUUAAAAAUAUUAUCCAUUUUUUUUUAUCCACUGCGAACUUAAUUACAACUUAAGAAAAAUGUGAUUUUAGGUUUUAGGUACCUAUAAAGAAAAUAAAAGUAUAUUUUUAUCACGCAUGUGAUCCAGAUUUCAGACGCACCAGCACCAUAGAGUUUAUAAGUUAUAACAUAACAAUUUACAACAGUAAUAGAACACAAUACCACAGUACGAAAGUACUGACUACUCAGUAGGUUUUAUUCAAUGUUUCUACACUACAACUUCUAUACUAGUAAUACAACUCAAAAAUAUAAAGAUUGUUAAAUUGUUUUUAAAAUAAAUUAUAGUGGUUUAUUUGUUAUGAUUAGUUAUCAUAUUAAACGGUUUUUAUUCUUAUGAAAAGACGGAUAACCAGAGAAUAAAAUAUUGACUCCAAAAAUAAACCUAAAUAGAAUCCUACCCAUUAUGAACCAGAAAUAACAGCAGUUUCAAGAUCUGGACGAAUUAUAAAGAAAUCUUCCAAGUUACUUGGUUUUGAAUCUUCGGACAUAC